AGUGAACGCUGGCGGUAGGCCUAACACAUGCAAGUCGAACGGCAGCACAGUAAGAGCUUGCUCUUACGGGUGGCGAGUGGCGGACGGGUGAGGCAUACAUCGGAAUCUACUUUUUCGUGGGGGAUAACGUAGGGAAACUUACGCUAAUACCGCAUACGACCUACGGGUGAAAGCAGGGGAUCUUCGGACCUUGCGCGAUUGAAUGAGACGAUGUCGGAUUAGCUAGUUGGCGGGGUAAAGGCCCACCAAGGCGACGAUCCGUAGCUGGUCUGAGAGGAUGAUCAGCCACACUGGAACUGAGACACGGUCCAGACUCCUACGGGAGGCAGCAGUGGGGAAUAUUGGACAAUGGGCGCAAGCCUGAUCCAGCCAUACCGCGUGGGUGAAGAAGGCCUUCGGGUUGUAAAGCCCUUUUGUUGGGAAAGAAAAGCAGCAGGUUAAUACCCCGCUGUUCUGACGGUACCCAAAGAAUAAGCACCGGCUAACUUCGUG
RNAcentral lists this ribosomal RNA (492 nucleotides) under uncultured bacterium. RNAcentral describes it as "partial 16S ribosomal RNA". It matches the Rfam family "Bacterial small subunit ribosomal RNA", at positions 29 to 507 of the family's 1533-position model. The record is from RNAcentral.